Molecule: ribosomal RNA, 406 nt
Filed under: uncultured bacterium
Lineage: Bacteria
Description: partial 16S ribosomal RNA
Rfam family: Bacterial small subunit ribosomal RNA
Source: RNAcentral
AUUGAACGCUGGCGGCAGGCCUAACACAUGCAAGUCGAACGAGUGGCGGACGGGUGAGUAAUGUCUGGGAAACUGCCUGAUGGAGGGGGAUAACUACUGGAAACGGUAGCUAAUACCGCAUACCAUCGGAUGUGCCCAGAUGGGAUUCGCUAGUAGGUGGGGUAAAGGCUCACCGAGGCGACGAUCCCUAGCUGGUCUGAGAGGAUGACCAGCCACACUGGAACUGAGAAACGGUCCAGACUCCGAAGGGAGGCAGGAGGGGGGAAUAGUGCACAAUGGGCGCAAGCCUGAUGCAGCAAUGCCGCGUGUAUGAAGAGGGCCGUCGGGUUGUAAAGUACUUUCAGCGGGGAGGCGGUAGCCGCAGAAGAAGCACCGGCUAACUCCGUGCCAGCAGCCGCGGUAAUUC